UACGUAGGUGGCAAGCGUUGUCCGGAUUUACUGGGCGUAAAGGAUGCGUAGGCGAACAUUUAAGUCAGAUGUGAAAUACCCGAGCUUAACUUGGGUGCUGCAUUUGAAACUGGGUGUCUAGAGUGCGGGAGAGGUAAGUGGAAUUCCUAGUGUAGCGGUGAAAUGCGUAGAGAUUAGGAAGAACACCAGUGGCGAAGGCGGCUUUCUGGUCUGUAACUGACGCUGAGGCGCGAAAAGCGUGGGGGAGCAAACAGG
RNAcentral lists this ribosomal RNA (255 nucleotides) under uncultured bacterium. RNAcentral's name for it is "partial 16S ribosomal RNA". It matches the Rfam family "Bacterial small subunit ribosomal RNA", at positions 524 to 776 of the family's 1533-position model. The record is from RNAcentral.